Molecule: ribosomal RNA, 425 nt
Filed under: uncultured bacterium
Lineage: Bacteria
Description: partial 16S ribosomal RNA
Rfam family: Bacterial small subunit ribosomal RNA
Source: RNAcentral
GUGAGGAAUAUUGGGCAAUGGGGGAAACCCUGACCCAGCAACGCCGCGUGAAGGAAGAAGGUUUUCGGAUCGUAAACUUCUAUCCUUGGUGAAGAUAAUGACGGUAGCCAAGAAGGAAGCCCCGGCUAACUACGUGCCAGCAGCCGCGGUAAUACGUAGGGGGCAAGCGUUGUCCGGAAUGAUUGGGCGUAAAGGGCGCGUAGGCGGCCUGGUGAGUCUGGAGUGCAAAGCCUGCUUUUAAGGUGGGAAUUGCUUUGGAUACUGUCUGGCUUGAGUGCAGGAGAGGUAAGCGGAAUUCCCGGUGUAGCGGUGAAAUGCGUAGAGAUCGGGAGGAACACCAGUGGCGAAGGCGGCUUACUGGACUGUAACUGACGCUGAGGCGCGAAAGUGUGGGGAGCAAACAGGAUUAGAUACCCUAGUAGUCC